Xenopus tropicalis (tropical clawed frog) is the source of this 816-nucleotide long non-coding RNA. RefSeq lists it as uncharacterized. The transcript is spliced from 5 exons. The record is from RefSeq and is a predicted model, not a curated record. Lineage: Eukaryota; Metazoa; Chordata; Amphibia; Anura; Pipidae.
CUAAUAUUAUGUGGGAGAUAUGAUGCUUGAAACUGGAAGAUUUGAGAAUUCAUUUUAUUUGCAGAGGGGACAGACAGUUAAGAGUGCUGCCAUGACCCCUGCCUAGGCACUGCUGACUGCCAUCUUGUGAUUCCCAUACUUAUGGGCAUACCGUUUUUCUAUUCAGUUGAGGAAGAUUUAUGACAUUGUUAUCAUUCAGAACCAACUUCAGCUGCCAACUCUCCACUCCAGUCUACAUUUUAUAUGCUGAGACUUUCUUCAUCUCGAACAUCUUUCUUCUCAAUUCCUUCACCUCGUAGCAAGGCUUCCAGUGUCGUUCCUUCUGCCAGAACAUUGUCCUUCCUCAGAGGAAAGUCAACAUCUGAGGAACAUGCAGAUUAUACCGUCAGAGGCAAAAGCACCAUUUAUAGUAUUCACAAUACUUCACCGCACUUGCAGGGUUCCUGCUGAGUGGCAGGUAAAAUCACUUUUUUUUUUUUUUUUUGUAUUUCAACACAUCUUUAUUGAAUAGCACACAAUGUGGUUACAGCAUUAUUGUCAUAAUGAUUAAAGCAUAUGUUUACAAUCAAAUGUUCUCAGUUAUAAACAGUAAGUGAAAAUCACUUUUUUUUAUUGACAAUGAAUGUAAAUGUAUUUGUGUAGGACAUUGGCCUAUUCCAUCUGCACACACCAACUAGUGGAUAUUUUCAUUCAAAACUUAUAAUCCUCAAAACAGGCUCCCGGAUAAAUGUAGCACCAAAUCAAAGUGUGUAAAUGAAAUGACAUUUUAUCUGUAUUUGCAUUAAGCUAAUGUCAGACAUGGUGGUUUCACUGCCA